UUCCAUCUGGAAGAAAGUCUGGAGACAGGUGCUGCAUGGCUGUCGUCAGCUCGUGUCGUGAGAUGUUGGGUUAAGUCCCGCAACGAGCGCAACCCUUGCCUUUAGUUGCCAGCAGUUCGGCUGGGCACUCUAAAGGGACUGCCGGUGUUAAACCGGAGGAAGGUGGGGAUGACGUCAAGUCCUCAUGGCCUUUAUGACCAGGGCUACACACGUACUACAAUGGCCGAUACAAAGGGCAGCGACACUGCGAGGUGAAGCCAAUCCCGUAAAAUCGGUCUCAGUCCGGAUUGGAGUCUGCAACUCGACUCCAUGAAGUUGGAAUCGCUAGUAAUCGUGGAUCAGCAUGCCACGGUGAAUACGUUCCCGGGCCUU
Molecule: ribosomal RNA, 372 nt
Filed under: uncultured Desulfobulbus sp.
Lineage: Bacteria; Pseudomonadati; Thermodesulfobacteriota; Desulfobulbia; Desulfobulbales; Desulfobulbaceae
Description: bacterial SSU rRNA
Rfam family: Bacterial small subunit ribosomal RNA
Source: RNAcentral